RNAcentral lists this ribosomal RNA (741 nucleotides) under uncultured bacterium. RNAcentral describes it as "bacterial SSU rRNA". It matches the Rfam family "Bacterial small subunit ribosomal RNA", at positions 8 to 796 of the family's 1533-position model. The record is from RNAcentral.
AGAGUUUGAUCAUGGCUCAGAGCGAACGCUGGCGGCAGGCUUAACACAUGCAAGUCGAGCGCCCCGCAAGGGGAGCGGCAGACGGGAGAGUAACACGUGGGAACGUACCCUUCAGUUCGGAACAACCCAGGGAAACUUGGGCUAAUACCGAAUACGUCCGUAAGGAGAAAGAUUUAUCGCUGAAGGAUCGGCCCGCGUCUGAUUAGCUAGUUGGUGGGGUAACGGCCCACCAAGGCUACGAUCAGUAGCUGGUCUGAGAGGAUGAUCAGCCUCACUGGGACUGAGACACGGCCCAGACUCCUACGGGAGGCAGCAGUGGGGAAUAUUGGACAAUGGGCGCAAGCCUGAUCCAGCCAUGCCGCGUGGGUGAUGAAGGCCCUAGGGUUGUAAAGCCCUUUCGGCGGGGAAGAUAAUGACGGUACCCGCAGAAGAAGCCCCGGCUAACUUCGUGCCAGCAGCCGCGGUAAUACGAAGGGGGCUAGCGUUGCUCGGAAUCACUGGGCGUAAAGCGCACGUAGGCGGGUUGUUAAGUCGGGGGGUGAAAUCCUGGAGCUCAACUCCAGAACUGCCCUCGAUACUGGCGAUCUUGAGUCCGGGAGAGGUGAGUGGAAUUCCCAGUGUAGAGGUGAAAUUCGUAGAUAUUGGGAAGAACACCGGUGGCGAAGGCGGCUCACUGGCUCGUAACUGACGCUCAUGCACGACAGCGUGGGGAUCAAACAGGAUUAGAUACCCUAGUAGUCC